UACGUAGGAGGCGAGCGUUGUCCGGAAUUACUGGGCGUAAAGAGCGCGUAGGCGGCGCGGUACGACCGCUGUGAAAGCCCCCAGCUCAACUGGGGAGGGUCAGCGGUAACGGCCGUGCUUUGAGUGCAGGAGAGGGAAGUGGAACUCCGGGAGUAGCGGUGAAAUGCGUAGAGAUCCGGAGGAACACCAAAGGCGAAGGCAGUGUCCUGGGGAGUACCUGACGCUCAGGUGCGAAAGCCAGGGGAGCGAACGGG
RNAcentral lists this ribosomal RNA (254 nucleotides) under uncultured bacterium. RNAcentral's name for it is "partial 16S ribosomal RNA". It matches the Rfam family "Bacterial small subunit ribosomal RNA", at positions 524 to 776 of the family's 1533-position model. The record is from RNAcentral.